GUCUUUUUGAUUUUAAUUUGAAGUCUAAUCUGCCCACUGAUAAUUUAAAGGGCCGCAGUAUAUUAACUGUGCAAAGGUAGCAUAAUCAUUAGUCUUUUAAUUGGAGGCUUGUAUGAAUGAUUGGACGAGAUAUUGACUGUCUCAAAUAAAUUUUUAUAGAAUUUUAUUUUUUAGUUAAAAAGCUAAAAUGUAUUUAAAAGACGAGAAGACCCUAUAGAUCUUUAUAUUUAUAUUAUAUUGUUUUAUAUGAAUUACUUUAAAUAAUAUUAUAAAUAAUAUUUUGUUGGGGUGACAUUGAAAUUUAAUAAACUUUCAAUUUUUUAAAAACAAAAAUUAUUGAAUUUUUGAUCCUUUAUUAUUGAUAAAAAAUUUAAGUUACCUUAGGGAUAACAGCGUAAUUAUUUCGAAGAGUUCAUAUCGAUGAAAUAGAUUGCGACCUCGAUGUUGGAUUAAGAUUAAUUCUAGGCGUAGCAGUUUAGUAUAUUAAGUCUGUUCGACUUUUAAAUUCUU
This 510-nucleotide ribosomal RNA is filed under the name Chrysotus pulchellus. RNAcentral describes it as "partial 16S ribosomal RNA". It matches the Rfam family "Bacterial large subunit ribosomal RNA", at positions 1829 to 2597 of the family's 2925-position model. Lineage: Eukaryota; Metazoa; Arthropoda; Insecta; Diptera; Dolichopodidae. The record is from RNAcentral.